This is a non-coding RNA of Xyrichtys novacula (pearly razorfish), 12892 nucleotides long. The record is from the annotation of a GenBank genome assembly. NCBI's taxonomy places the organism in Eukaryota, Metazoa, Chordata, Actinopteri, Labriformes, Labridae.
CUGAAAGUGACCACUUUACUCCACGUAACAUUUUCUCUCUUUCAGACCUCAUGAGAGAGGCAAACAUCCAGUUAUUACUGAAAUCUCAUGACCUGGUUCAGAUUUUUCUUACAGACAGAAUCAAAACUGACUAUAUCUGCCUCCAAAUCAACGCCAUCUGCACAUGAAACGGCUCUACUCAUGAACGACUCGACUGAAAGGUUAAGUCAAGGUGUUCACAUCCACCACUGGCGUGAGUAAAGCACAAACACACAUAUACAUUGCAAACGCACACAGAAACACCUGUCCAGUCGUCACCGUUUUUACACCUCCAGCUGCACAGAGUCUCAGUUUCGACUUCAAGGCUCCCUUUAGCGUCAAUGAUUGUCAGAAUAUCGAGUGAGUAAUGUGCUGUAGACGCGGCGGGGCGCUGAGGUCAACUCCUCAAACGCGGCGCUUGACAGGGUUUCAUCCUCUGUCGUGUAAAUUUGACACCUGUUUAAUGUGACGUUCAAAACUCACAGAUCCUACAUAAUCUCAGGGCAGUGAAAGCAGCAUCAGAUCCCAACAGUAACCAGCUCCAGUGUGGGGCUUGAAAAGAGGCUUUUGAAGGGAAAAAAAAAAGGUUUCAAUGUUUUGCUUGGUAAGCAAUGACACUGCACUUCUAAAUGUUUGGAAACCAUGUGAAAAUGACGCUCACCCCCUGUCAGGUCAAAGGCUGGUUGAGAGAAAUUAGAGACUAACUCUCCACAGAAAACUGUGUCUGUGGUCGGUUUGUUUUCAUGGCUGAAAGAUACACAUCCAGGGUUUCCCCAAAAAGACAGCUUUGCCUUAAAUAAAGAGUGACUCCGCUGAGUUACUGUAAAAAGAGAUAACAGCAGAGACAGCAUGGCUACUACAAAACUCAACCGUGGAGAGCCGGUCUUUUUCUUGUCCUGAAGUGAGAAUAUAAUUAUAAAUGUGGAGUAUUGCCAAGAGUUGUCAGUUUUAGCUCACACCAACAGCUGGACUCUCUACUGAGGAGGAGUGGGCAACAAGCACAGAGUGCCAGACCCUGAACAAACAAACAGAACUGCUGAUAUGAUGUGAGUUUUGGAUGAUUACUUGCAGGUAAAAGACUCUGUUGUUGUUGUUGACUGUUAACUAUGUUAGUUUUGAACACUUUGGUGAACGCCAUAAGUCCUAAACAUGGGUUAGUAAGAGAACUUUUCCCCAGAGGUUAAUGCUGUAGCAUGGAGCGUUUUAUUCUAACCAAGCUAACAUUUCUUUGGAUGCAGAUGAGGCAGUCCUCUACAUGAAAAAAAGGACAGCUGUGACCAAAAUUUGCUUACCUCGACUUUUUAAAAAUUAUCAUUUUCACUUAAAGGCAUGGUUGACGAUUGGCGAGAUUGGUAAUUAUUAUGAACCUCGUUUCUAUGGCGAUCAUGGGGAGAGAAAAGUGAAUGGAAAAAAAUCCGUUCACCCUAGCAGGUUUAGGGCUGCAAAAACAUUGGCCAAUGAGAGCCAUCCAUCCCAAACAGCUCCUAUUGGUCAAUCUCCUGCUCAGCUUCUCAAUCCAAUCACCUCGCUGUAUUCGACACACCCCUCUCUCGUAGUUCCAACUCAUCCCCUCUCACUCUCCCGGCCCUUCUCAGAGCUCUGAGCGGCUAAAAGUAGCGUAGAAGCUUAGCUACAGGAGCUGUGAUGGAGAAAGACGCAAAAAAACAAUUCUGCUUGCCCCACCGCCAAAAGUACUAUAGAUAGAAAGAUUUAUGAUUUGGUGGGUUGCUGAAUGGAUGGUUACAUGGAUAAAUAGACAGAACAUACUGUACAUGGUCGGAUGGACGGAAGGAGUCUGCCAGUCAAGUUUACUGACAUUAUUCCACAGUGUCAUUGUCCAAAAUCAGGCCAGUGCAGCUUCUUCGAGCUUGGAUUUAUCAAACACACUCAGAACAGAUUUUUAAAGUUUGAAUGUGACUCUGUUUUUAUUUUGUCACUUUUGUCUAUUUCAGUCUAUCCCCUCAUCCCAAAGGAGAGACACUCAAACUUUCCAAAAUUUUUAAACAAUCCCAAAAAAGGCAAGUAAGUAAACGUUAAUAUAUCUCAGAAGAAUUUCUCAUAAUCCACUGAUAGUAUUUUAUUACAUGUACUCUUGAAUAAAAUUAUGUUCUUAUAUAAACUGAACUCUGCAGACCAUGAGUCACCACACUGGCCAUAUUUUCUUCAAUUCUCUGUUUCCUCACUUUUAUUACUUCACAUUCAAAGUUGAACUGGACAAAGUUAAACUGCCUUUUGUUAACAUGGUCGGGGAUGUGAACAUCUUGUUUGAAUUAACUUUAUUGGAAUGUCACAGAGUAAAACAGACCGCAGAAUUCUUCGCUUGUACGUCAUGGAAGGUCAAUUGAUCCGAGCGUUAGAGCUGCACAUUCUGUUUGUGCUGAAAGGAUGAUUCAAGUCCAAAUGUGGGUUAACAACUGUUACCGACACUGGCUGCAUGCUCGGGGUGUUGUAAACAACAUUUCACAGAAAUAUGAAAACUAUGCAACCUACAGUGGAGCUUGUUAAUGGCUGCAGCAUGACUAUUAAGACCAAAGUUAGAGUGUUUGUUUUGAUAGUAUGCAGUACAAAUAAUAUAAACUACAAUUGCCAAUAUUAAUCCAGCACUCCAUACAAAAUCCUGCAGUCUCUUCUUGCACACAGAUAAAGGUCAAGCUGUUGUUCACCUUUUGUGCAGAUCAUAUUCUCCCUGCUGUAAGUGUAUUGUAAUUAUAGAAUCGUCUUGCCAGAAAUGGAAAAACCAGAUGAAGUUUCAUUGAUAAUGAAAGAUUCAUCAGGGAUUUGUGGCUGUUUGAGUUCAUCCUGGUUGGUUUGUUGGCUUAUUUACAGGAGCUCGAGGAUGAAUUUAUUCCUUUUAUCUCUGUGAAUGCCAAGAGUCGUGGGGUUCCACGGGACGGCUCAAGCGCUGCAGUAUUUAUUUAUGUUUUCUGGAAGAGUCUGUAAGCCGUGAGACGAUCCAUCAUCUGAGUUUUAUCUGCAGAUGGAAGAGUUUGAGGUAAACUUUUCUUAAGAGUCUCAUCCCUCUUGUUUUGCCUGAUACAUGAUGAGAAAGUGGGGCUUGAAUUUGGAAGGUAGACAAAUUCCUAAUAAUGUGGUUUGGAGCAAUUGACGUCGAAUCAAAGCAAAAACAAUCAAGAGUCAUUAGUGGGAGAUAGUCAGAGCCCUCCAACCAGACUCCAACCAAUUCAACUGGGUAUUCUCUGAACCUCUAAGCUAAGAAACCAAACUGGCACUUCACAGGCAGCGCUCAUUUAAAAUGGAAUACUUUCAUGUUGAUCAGAUGGUCACAGCAUGUGCACAUAAAACCCUGUUGUGUUCAUCAGCGAACAGCCAUUGUUACAGAACCCGAGUUCAGAACAUAUCCUUGAGUCUGACCCGAGUUUCAGGACUCAAGAAGACUCAAGCAUUGACCACAUUAGGACUCAGAAUAUGGGUUGACCUUGCAAGAGGUAAAGCAGUGAAGUGAAGGCUCUGUACAAGGGAAAAGAAGUGAGCUAUUCAGACUAGAACUGUUUUGUAUCAGGCUGUAAACAUGUUUGGUUUUGCUGUAAAGAUAAGCUUUUUAGAAUGGGUGUGUAUGUGGUUUCUGGUGCUUGUGGAGCAGCCCCAAGUGGACACUUAAGGAACUGCAGCUUUUAGCACUUGCACUUGCUUCAUUUUUCAAUACCAGAAAUUGCAACAUGGCCGUCCAUCUUUGUGAACAAGGAUCUGGAUGAACUUUACUCUCACUUCUAAGAACUUAAACUUGACUGGUGCCCUAUUGGAUUAUUUGUUAGCUCUCCGAGACUAGAGCUGUUACAGUUUAGCUAAUUUCAAGCAGAGCAAUUUCUCGUUUGUCUCUAGUCUGGUGCAUUUUCACUGCAUAUGUACAAGUCUUCUCGUAAAACAGGAUAUAGGAUUUCAAGGAGAUUUUACUGCUGAUAGCUUUGCAAAGUAAGGGUUGGCCAGAUUAGGAGGAUUCAUGGUAAAUUCGACCAGACUUUAAAUGUGAUCGCGCUACAUAAAAAUUUUCUUCACUUUUGGUCUGAGAAUAACAUAAAAUAACUACAGAGUAGGCUGUUAAUCUCUGGUUUUAAUGAUUGAUAUUUGCAGAGUUUAGUUUAUAAGCAGGGUAAACUACACGACAAAAGCAACGCCAGAUACUUGAAUCACUGAGCAAAACUGGAGACAAGUAUGUUGACCUCAUUCAGAAGUAUGGUUGAGCCCCUAAUUGUGUAUUACCUAAUGUUUGAUAUGGACUGCUUGCAACAAAUGCUCUCAUUAAAGUAAUUUCCUACAGAGUCAAAAUGAGAUCAAGAUUAAAUAUAGGGGAAAGAGGAUCAAACGGACAUGGUCCAAAAGAUGCAGUGAUGUAAUGAUGGAUGCAAGAAAAUAUUUUCCUUUCCCUGCUGUGAUCCGCUUUGAUACGAGCAGUUGAAAUUAAGAUUAAUUAGACAAGAUAUUUUAUACAAACGACAAGAAAAACAUACAAACAUAUUCAGCGCAUGGACUUCGGGAGCCCAAAAUACCCCAAAAUUAAUGACGGCAUUAAUCAGGGACCAGAUGUACUACUGAAGAUUAUCAUUAUUUCAGAAAUAAGGUAAUUAGUUUUUCCCUUGAGGAUAUCUGAUCUAAUUUUGUCUUAACUGUUUAUUAUAUCAUCAAAAGCAGCUGCAAGGCCAACACAAGUCUUUUUAUAACUAUUUCAUCCCUGCUUUUCUCUUUCUUCUCUCCAGGAGGAGUAAUCCAGCAGGAGCCCUGAUUAAAAACGGAUGCCUCCUGACUUCUCUCCUCAUUUCUCCAAGUUGAGGUCAGCAGAAAAACGAAGAGACGUAACACGAAAGGUUUCGGACUUGAUUAGCGUUUUCUGUCGGGCUGGAGCUGAUUCCUGCGUCGGCUAAUUGAUCCUACCGCUGUUUUGUUGUCAAAGCCAAGGGGGUUGUGUUCGUUGCCACGCUAAAAGAAAUCGCUGCAACUUUAACAAUGCCACGUGUGCUGAGUUCGACUCCAGAUUGAGAUUGGGCCAUGGGAAAAUAUUGUUCCCCAGAGCCGCUUUAGCUCAGCAGCUCUAUGUGUCAUGGUGGUUUUAGGGGAAGGAAUGUAUGAUGUGUAUUACAUGCAAAUAUUCCUCUGCAGUGAGGGACAAGACUGUUAACCUCAAAAGACUCUUCUCUCUAACCAUCUCGUCCAGGCCUAAUGGGUUUUCAACCUCUAUUGUAAGCAGUCGUUUGUGAUGCCACUAUGUCUUAAUCAGCCUUCUGAAGACUCUGCAAUAAGUGAUGUGGAACUGAACCGGUUCAUUUCCUAUCUGUCAAACAGGUCCUUUUCUGUAGUCCCUGGAACUACCUCCUCCUCUUUAAUGUGGGGUCCCCCAGGGGCCUAUCCUGGGUCCCCUCUUAUUCACUGUGUACAUGCUUCCAUUGGGGGAGAUCUUGCAUGGGCGUGGUAUUGACUUUAAUUGUUAUGCAGAUGACACCCUGCUGUUUACCCCUGGCACCACUGAUGUGUCAGGCACAAUGAUUUAUUAUGUAAUCAUUUUCUCUAUACACUAUAUUUAUCUUAAACUCACGUUUGGGAUUUAAUACGACUGUUUCAGUCUGUGGAUUAAAACCCAAAAUGCAUUAUGUGCUGAAACAGACUGUCCGUGUGUCCCCAAAGGGCUUCUGUAGACUGCUGUGAAAUUGACAGCUGUUGCUGUAAUCUGUCUGGUGGUGCUCAUGAGUGUUAGUAUUUUAUGUUUUUGCCAGUGUGCAUUUCUGGAGUAUUUUCUGGUAGUUAAAUAAAGUUACAGACUUCACUUUUAUUUAUAUAUGUUUGGCUUUUUGUGCAAUCUGGCGGUUUAUAGACAGCUUUUGGGCUGAAAACUGUCGUUUGUACACUGGCAGGACUUAUUAGUAACAUAAAACAUUUACAAAGAGAUUUCAAUGAGGAUGAGGAAAUAAAUUAAAGCUGACAGGUUGCAAAGGACUGUUUUUUCUUCACUCCUAUAUUUCAGCUUCUUUUACUACUUUGAGGCGGACAUCAAGUGACACAUAACUACACAAGGAUUACUUUCUUCCCUGUUUUUCUUAAUAAUAGGUUGAAUCUAUUUGUCCACGUGGAAAAAAUACAUUAAUCCACCAACAAAACAGCACAAUAAACUUCAGCUAAAUGAUAAAAAGAAAGGCUCUACUUCCAAGUUUCCCAUUAGCCACAGUUUGACCUCCUCUUUAAAGUCUGCUGCUCAGGAGUUCAUCCAGUCUCUAAGGUGGUCUUUGAGAUACUCCGGGUCUCUGUUAUUGAUCGACCGUUUCACACUGACAACCCUGAACUAACGUGUCCUGACACAUCUGCGGGUUGUUUCGAGGUUUCGGGUCGCUGCUGGCUCUUGAUUUGUCAGAAACAUCAAAAAGUUGAAGCAAUGAGCUUUUGGCCGGUUGAUGCUAAUAAUAGUACGUAUUACCCUGGGACAUCUGAUUAUUAUUAAUAAUUGCAGAGGACGCCUGUGUUUUUAAUCAUGCAGAUUGACAUAUUUAAGGACACUCUGGGGUCUUUUGAUAAUAACUGUGUUGUUCUGGACAAAAUGAGGCAACCUUGAGUUUCUGAUAUGAACAGAUAAAACUAUAUCUGCAGGAGCAUGUCGUCACCUCAUGAAAUAAAUGCAAAAAUAAAAUAUGUCAUGAUGUGCCAAGUCCAAGUUCCAGUAAAUGUUGUUGUUCAGCUUGUAUCUAUUGAGUGUUUGAGGGAGUGUGAUCAGAAAAGAAAGGGCUGAGCUGACGGUGGCGGCGAUGGAUACGUGAAUGAGCGAGCUGCCAACUUGCUCAAUUCACUGUUUUUUAUUCAGUACUUAGCUUUUAACUUCACAGUCAACUCUUCAUUGUACCCGACCAACAAGUAACCCGAUCAGUAUAGCCCGUGCAUGACCCGCACUCACAUCCACACAUCACAGCCUAUCAGGAGUCAGGGUACAGGGCCUCAGUCUGCAACAACUCCUGCCAACAAAGAGAGCCGAUUCAUGCUGGCACCAUCAAAGAGAGGAGCGGCAGCAGGUGAGAGUAUUAACAUUCUUUGGUUAGAACAUGAGGAUGUGUUUAUUCUCCUCUGCAUGUCUAAUGACGGCAUCUGGAAACCAAAAACUCCUCUGGAGGAAACUCUUCCUUUUUCUGCUCAGUCUGUUCCCACAUGACAGGAUGGGAACAUUUGGCAGCACUUAAAAAAACAAAGAUGCACACCUGUUUCGCCGUUAUGUCACAACAGGUCAGAGACACUUGUGGGUUUAAAGAGACAACGGGCUAAUGUGAAUACGUUAUUAGUGGUUACAUAAAUAAUAAUUAUGGGAUAAGGGGAAAAAGGUCAGUAUCAACGGAAGUACAUCUGAAAGACGGGUAAGGAAUUAAAUCAUUUAAUUUUAACAAAUGGUGGGGAAAAGAUUUAAGGUUGGUCGGUAGAAAUAGGAACCGUCUGAUAACUUUUCAAGAAAUUCCCUCAAAGAAAGACGACUGUCCGACAGAAGUCUGGUUCUGCUCAAGGUUUCUGCCUGUUAAAGGAAGUUUUUCCUCAUCACUGCUACUUGCUUAUAAGAUGGGAUUCAGUUUCACAGCAUCGAUCUUCUCUGUCUCGAGGUUCGGUCUUCCUGUAUGGUCUAGACCAGGUUUUAUGUUACACCUCCUGGGAUAACAUUUGUUGUGAUACGGCACCGUAUACAUAAAGAUCGAUCAAUUGUUAUUUAGGGUUGAUUCAGCAGAAUAAGCUGACGUAAUGCUAAUAUGGACUCGACCUGGUCCAGACUUUGACUCUUCUUUUGUGACUCUGACUCGACUGCAGAAUCAGACUCAAACACAACGCUGGCUGAGAUGUUGUUUGUAAUAUCAAAGAGAUUAUAACAGGAAACAAAGGUGGCCUUAAAAUAUGCAAACACUUCACUCGUCAGAUAAAACUGUUGUCUUAAUUUUAUCAUUUGAAGAAGUAAACAGGUUACAAAAAUCAUUAUUUUUUCUGUUUUUUAAGGAAAUGCACCAUACAUUUGAUCAUAUAUUUGGUCUUAAAACCACCUUCCUGUAGCCAACUAUCGGUGUCCACAUGGAGAGCCUGAAUCCCAACAAUGGUAGACGCCAUGUUGGAAAGUUUUGACCCAACUUCACUUCCAAUCAACCUUCGAAAAGCGACACCUGUCAGUCAGAUCAUCCAUCUGUCCUUCUUCAUGUAUAAGAAUCCAUUCAACAAACAUCCCACCAUAUUAAAACCGUCUCUCUCCUCUUUCAUGUCGAGCUCUGUCACUUUGAAUCACUUCUAACUUUAAAAAAUUAAAUCCCCUCAUAACUUGGGGUUUUGCAGAUUAGAGGACAAACUUCAUUGUUUGCUGAUUAAACAAACAUCAUUAAUGAAAAGCAGCUCUGAUUUAUGCAGCUGCUGUGUUUGAAACAAUAUUAAUCCCACUCUUGGCCUCAGUGAGAGCAGCCUGUUGAAAUAUUAGUCUGCAGGAUGAACACUGGUGUUCAUAUAGUGUGGUUUAUGGAGUUAUUCAGAGGGAUUGACAGCAUGCCGAUGACUGUCUCCAGUGCUCAUCUGUUUGUCCACAACAUGAGUCAGGAAUGACUGUUUUUCUUCAGUGAAAUUAAGUCCCGGACUGCAAAAUAAAACCGUCAAAGUUCCUGCUUCUCACGAUAAACCCUCGUGAAAAUCAUUAAACAUGUUCUGCCGUUACUAACGGAAAUGAUCUGAUGUAUGUUAAGCCACGUAGCAUGGGAACGUUUGCUAUAUAUAUGGGUUUGCCUGUUUAUGGUUCCAUUAUGGGGGCUUUAUGAGUCAGACCUGACACACCCAGUCUUCAAUGUAUGGCUAAUUGUUCACCGAAAUAAGAGCAGUGAUGAUAGAAGUACAGACAUCAUUAACUUGAGUAGAAGCAACAACGCCACAAGAAAAGAGUGCUGCCCUCUGAGAUCAUGUCCUUAAUUCAUGGUUUAAUUAAAACUGCACAUUGUUUUUGACACUCGGGCGCAGCAGACAAAAGUUGCGAACACAACACUGACAAGUUGAUUCAGUAGAACUGUACAUAAAAAGUUGUUUAAUAUCACUUUAGGAGGCUAUGAAAACUUCAACAGAAACUUGGAGUGAUUUUUUAAGGCCAGCUGAAACCCCUUUGGAUCAGUCAAUAUCCAACAACUCAUACAGUUUAUGUCAGUCUCUCCAUGCAACAGAUAUCUGCACACGAGGGCAGAUAACAGUCCGUUUCAGGGCCCUGUCUGAGCGGUCUGAAAUGCACAGUCUAAAGAACACUGUGGAAUGUGAUUUACAGCAUGUCAGACCACUUUUUGGUACUUAAGCGGUGCACAGUCUUGGGGCCAAGUGAGGUGCUCAUAGGAGGCUGGAUUAAGUCUAUCGGUUAGUCAAAGGUGUGUUUUCAAGAGCCAGGUGAACCUACAAGCAGACUAUUUUCACAACAGUUUAGUCUGUCUGUACACAAGGAUUAACAACUUAUCCACUGGAACUUUCCCAAUUUACAGAUGUGUGUACAUUAGUGCACAAACAUGUUUAUCAGAAAGAGAGUGCACAUGGUGGAGAGCUUUGGCCGUAUUUUUUGGUGAAAUGAUAGCAGUGGUGGUGCCCUCAUCUUCUGGCAUCCCUAGAUCAGUCAUACAAAACUGUAUCAUCAUGUAUGGAAAGAAGGAAAAACUGCUCGGGUCUCCAAGCCCUCUGACCUGGUAAAAAGUAGACUCACUCAUACUGCAUGCACUCCAUCAACUCUUAUGCCCGUCUAACUGUCGCAGUCAUGCAUCAAAAUAUCCAGAAAGUUCUGAGCCACUGACUUUAAACUUCAAACCUGAUCCUAGUUGGUCUAAAGAAUGGACUUUUCUGCUCCUUAAACACAGCAACACACCGUCUAGAUCCUAAAGACUUAAUGUGAAGGCCAAGAUAUCGAUCAGCACCAACAUAAGCACAAGUUCAGUCACUUUUUACAGAACAAGAGGAUCAUAGAUGUCAAAUUGAAGUCCAUCCAGUCUUCUGACAUUAGAGGUAAUGCUCUCAAAGAGAAGUUUUUAGCCAAUCACUGAUGACACCAGAAGCUCAAGAAAGUUCCUAUCAGAAGCUAAAUGAUUGAGACAUCAGCCUUAUAGUAAAGCUGCUCAUUUACGCUGUACAUCAGAUAUCCAUGCAGUAAAUAAUGGAACUUUCCACCCAUUCUUUGUUCAUGUCCUUUGUAUCACUGCAAGCCUACACUUAUGGACCAAACAUCUUAGCAUCACUGGAAAUCCUGGGGGUGGGGUUGAGUAGAGUAUCCAAAAGUUCAAGCCAAACCAACGAAAUACAGGGGAAACUUUUCCAUCGAGUUGACAAAGUGAAGGACACGCAAGAGUGAGUGGGUGGUGACAGGUAUAUUGUUGAAAACAUUUAUAUCUGCUAUGAUUGGAAAAAGUAAUAAAAUAAUGUGAUUCAAAUGGAACAAGCAGAUACAGACUUGAAGUGGAGAUCAAAAUAAAGUUAAAAAAAGAGACUAAUUCUGGCUAUAAAUGUAACAGGUAAGAGGAUGACCCUCCGCCUGCUGGAUUUGAAUACGGACUCAAGUCUGCUUUAAUAUUCACCAUAAAAACGGAGGGUUUAUAAUUUAUCUGUAUUGUGUUUCUAGAUUGUUUUACUGUUCCCAAGUGGUCAAAAAACUUGGAAGUUGAGUAAAUGAACACAGUUUUUUUCUACCCUCUGAUGCCAAAUAGCUAUAAAUGUCUUCAGUGUCCGCAGCUCUCCUCCUCUAAAGCCGGGCCGUGAAAGAAUCACUUUGGAAACAUUCGUACAGAGCAGCUGAGGAGUAGCUGGACUCUGGACCCUUUAAUCAGGGAAGAAUGUUUUUCCAGGGGAAGAAACAGUUAAGACCAAUUUCAGGCCUGCGUGUUGCUACUGCUUAUUUGGCCAAAACAUCUGUGAUAGCAAGAAAUGUAGGCCACAGCAGCUGGGAAGCCUGCGGCCCUGAGGACGGGAGGUACAGUAUUCUGUGGACCCUCUAUCUCAGACCAGAGCUGUGACUGAUAUUAUUGACAAGCAUCAAUAAUGUCCCACUAGGUUUUCCCACGCAGGGAUUCAGGACGGUGCUGUCUACAACAUGUUGUACAGUGUCGGCUGACGUCUCAAGGAAGCAAUAAUAUUCUCAAUAUUUACAAUCAGUACAAUGAGAAUAAGUUUUACUAUCAUGUCAGAGCCAGCAUAAAUAGGACAUGGGUGUGUGUCUGAAGCUUUGGUCUGGGUGAUUGUACUCAGAUGUUUGGAAAAAAAAGGCCCUUGCCUGUUGUUCUCCGUAAAGAGAAACAUUUGGAUAUCCUCAGGUAGCACAUGGGAAAGGGUGUUACUGGAGUUCAUUUUUAUUGUUCAAGGUACCACUCGGAUUCAUCCAAGAAGCCUCACAACCUCAACCUUUAUCCCAAUAUGACCAAAACCAGAGGAGAAAUUCCUGGUAUUGCUUUUGAAAGAUGGGGAGCAAAGACACGUUUGAGGAGAGUUAUAAAUUGGGUUUGUUUGGAAAGAUUUCACCAUUUUUUUGUGAUAGUGGAUCUAGAAAUAAUAAUAAAAAUAAUAAUGAAAAAAAUCCAGUCCAGUUUAGCACCUGGACUCUUCUACUACAGAGCCGUACUGUUGCAAUAUGUUCAGCACAAAGUUUGGCAAUGUUUUGCUGGACUAUACAAGGUCUUCCAUGUUGAAGUCAUUGUCUGUCAUAGUUUCCGAAAUGUCAACUCUUGAUUCAUUAAACCACGAGACAGUUUCCCACUUCAACUCAGCCCACCUUUAAUUGGCCGAACCCUUGAUAAGAGCGCCGAAAAGCCUCACUCUGCCCAUGAACAACCUCACAGAGUGAGUGGGAUAUCAUGGAAGUUGUUUUGUCAUGCUCCUCCACCACUCAUAGAAACAGUGUGCCCACAGAGUAAUAGCUGGGAUCUGGGAACAUGGUGAAAUCCAACUAGGUAAGUAGACAUCAGCACUCGGAGGACAUAUUGUGAACAAAUCUUCAGAUUAUCGUAACCACUCCGUUUAGAGGUGAAACCAAAAUUGAGCGAAACAGAAAUGUUUGUAAUAUUACCGCAGAGAACAGUACAAGUCAGCACAAUGACCGCUCGUACUGCGGCGCAGGGUUGAUUCAGAGGUUUGUAAACUGUGAUGGAUAUUCACAACGAAAGAUGGAUUUGAUUUUUUUGUUCAGUCUAACAGUCACAUCUGAUUUUGUCCUGAAAGUGAGUUUGUUUUUGAACUCUGCGACCUGAUAUGGUUUUUCGUCUCCCCUGACACCCUUUUCCCCAUAUUUCCUGUUUCCAAUCCCUGAACCUGUUUGAAUAAAACCUACAGAAGUAAACUACAAAAACCAGACUCACAUCUUCUAAAAGGGUAAAAAGUUACACCUUUGUUUCAACACUUAAAAACUCACCAUUAUCCAUUUGAUCCCCACUUUCCACUGACCCAUCUGACUGUCAAAGAUCUGCCUCUUUCCACAUGUGUCUCUUCGACUCAGAUCCUUUUUUUGGCAGAGACUACACUGACUAAAUAAUACAACUAUUUAUUAGGUCAUUUUGUAAAAACUGAACAUCCGACGAUUUUAAUGCUUUAAUGUGGAUAUAAUUGAUCAGGAAUCUCGCUUCCCUGACACUGAUCCCCAUUUAGUGCUCGUAAAAUCCUCUCUCAGCAAACCAGAACAACUGUCCUUAUCUACAACAGGAUUACUGGUGUCUGCUAUACAUGCAGGUCUAAAAUUAUUCACUGAGAGUACAAAUACAACCACGAAUGCAAACGUUUAAACCCUAAAUUAGUUUAGUGCUUUGUACUCUAAUGCGGAGGGUUAGCAGCUGCCCAGCUAUUACACAUUAUACGGUAAUGAUGGCAUGAUAUAUUAAGUACUGCAGUACAGGAGUUGCAUUCAGAGCAUAAAUUGCAUCAGUCCAAAGCA